UUAAUUUUAACUUGUUUAAUCUGUGUUCCUAUAAAUAUUCUUGAUCUUUGUUCUUAGACACAGUUUGGUUACUUGACAACAGUUUGAUCCUUUCAGGGGUUGCUUUUAAGCUUUCUUAGGUGGAAGCAGAGCAGUGUUUAGUCCAGGACUGUUUUUUUCCUGACUUCUGAGGCAGAUGUCUCCACUCUCCCGGCUCCGAGUCCUCAGCUCAGGGAGCAGCUGGGUUCUUUCUGGCUUCUCUUUCACCGCACCAUUGCCUAAAACUCUUUGACAGUUACCCGGGGUAAUUGUAUGGCUUAUUUCAUUUGUUUCGCAUCUCUUAGAGGUGGGAACUGCCUUUUAUUUUUUGAUACCCAAUGUCUUGAUGUUACAUUAUAUUUUUUUCUAGCUUUUUACUUUUUUUCAGGCAUUAUAAUAAUAUUUUAGUAACUGCUCUAGGAUUGCAGUAUACAUCCUUAAGUUCUCAUAGCCCACUUGCAUUAAUAUGGUACCACUCAAAUAAAAUACAGAAACCAUGGAGCCAUUAGUUCCAUAUGCCCUCCAUGAUUUAUUAUACAUAACUAUCAUACAUAAUACAUCUCCAUUUGUUAUAAAUUACACAAGACACCAUUCUCUUUUUUUCUUUAGUUAGGUGAUUCAUAUAAACCAAUUAAUAGGAAAACAAAGAAAAAUUAUUCUUUUAAAUUUACAGUUUUUAUGUUAUUCAUUCUUUUGUGACUACCCUCAGCCUGAGGAACUUCCUUCAGCAUGUGGAAAUCUGCUGGUGAUGAUACUUUUAGUCUUAGUUCAUCUAAAAAUAUCUUUAUUCUUGAAAGGAUAUUUUCUCUGGUUAUAGAAUCUGAGCUGACAAUUUUUUUCCUUUCAGUGCUUUAGAGAUGUUGUUCCACUCUCUUCCAUUCUCCAUGGUUUCUGUUGAAGACUUAGCCAUUAAUUAAAUUAUUGAUCCCUUGUAAAGAAUGUGUUGUUUUUCUUUUGAUGCUUUGAAGACUUGCUCUCCUGUCUUUGGUUUUCACCACUUUGACCAUGAUAUGCCGCAGUGUGGGAUUGUUUAUGCUUAUUCCAUUUAUGCUUAUUUAUGCUUAUUCCUCUGAGCAUGUUCUAUAUAUACAUUUCUGCCUUUUAUCGAACUGGGGGAAAUUUUUUUGUCAUUUUUAUUGAACUUUUUUCUCUCUUCUUCUGGGAUUCUUAUUACACAUAUGUUGGAAUACUUGAUAUUUAUAUAAAAGGUUCUGUUGUUUUUUUCCCAGUCUUUUUUCUUUCAUUCUUCACGUUGGAAAAUUGCUAUUGUUCUUUGAGUUCACUUAUUCUGUCAUCUCCAUCCAGCUGUCAAGACUGCUCAGUAAAUUUUUUUUUCAAAUAUUGUAUUUUUCAAAAAAUACUGAAUUUUUUCAUUCAAGUAUUGUCCAUUUGGUUUUGGGGUUUUGUUUUUCUUUUGCUUUUGAAAUUUUCCAUUUUUUUAUUUAUUGAGCUCAUACUUUGUUUUAUCUCAUUGAAAAUCAUUAUAAUAUCUGUUUAAAAGUCCUUGUCUGCUCACUGUAAUAUCUAGUUCCUCUCAAGUUCUGAUUCAGUUGAUUUUCUUUUCUCUUGAGGAUGUAUUCCAUUUUCUUGGUUAGUUUUGUUGGGAAACUUUGGAUUUACCCUGGACUUUGUGAAUGGUUGUGUAAAUUCUUGAUUUUGUUGUUUUACUCUAAUAAGUGGUUUUCUUUUGCUUAUGGAACUCUGUUUCUUGAACAGCAACUCCAGACUCAGUUGGGAUCAUCUAUCUUUAGCUAAGAUACCUUGAGUCUGUUUCAUGCGUCUGUGGUUCAGGAAUUAGUCAGAGAAACUAGUAGAAUUUGGGAAAGUCCUCUCUAUCUCUUUUUCUUCAGGGAAUCUCCGACUCUGUCCAUCAUCUGUGGAUUACCCUAUCAGAGAGACCAUGGGUUUUCUCCUGACACCUUCACCAACAUGUGCUGGCCAUGCACCCAGGCUAAAAGCCACAGAUACAAGGAGCUUACCAUACAGCUCCCCUCUUCCAAGUAUUUAUUUCUCAUCAGUUUCUGUAUGCUUCUCUUCUCCCUCCAGUGCCUUCAGGUCAUUGCUUUUUGCUUUAUGUCCAAGUUUUAUAGUUGUUUACUGCAGGGGAGUUUUCCAGGAGGGUCUUAUUCCAUCAUUACCUGAAUCCAAAAUCCCUCUCAGUUACCUUUUAAAUUCAAGCAUCUUGUCAUUUGAAGGCAAAACACUUUCUUACAGAAACUUGUUCAACUAGUCCACACGAUGAAAAGUAUCUGCUGAGAAGGCUACUUUCUGCAGCCCCUGUUCAUCUUCAAAGCACUUAGUAAAAUCUGGCCAAUUUAUCUUGAAAGCACUUCUAAAUUUCACCUAUCAGCUCAAGAACUCUACUGAAAACUCUUCCUCUGAGUGUUUGACAACAGUACUUCUCUGUGAAGAAGGCAGUGUGUUGUGACAAUGCGAGGAAAUUUUAACAAGAUACCAGAGCGCUCAUAAAACCAUCCAUUGAGGGGCUUCCCUUCCCUGGUGGUACAGUGGUUAGGAGUCCACCUGCCAGGGCAGGGGACACAGGUUCGAGCCCUGGUCCAGGAAGAUUCCACAUGCCGCGGAACAACUGAGUCCCUGUGCCACAACUACUGAAGCCCACGCGCCUAGAGCCUGUGCUCUGCAACAAGAGAAGCCACCACAAUGAGAAGCCCGCGCACCGCAACGAAGAGGAGUCCCCACUUGCCACAACUAGAGAAAGCCCACAGGCAGCAAUGAAGACCCAAUGCAGCCAAAAAUACAUAAAUAAAUAAAUUUAUGAAAAAAAAAGAUCAAAACCAACCAUUGACAAGGCUCCAUCAGUUCAGAAAUCAACACUGUUCUUCCAAGACAGACCUUUUGUUUAUAGAUAUGAAGGCCAAAUAUUAUCUAUGUCCUGGCCUUUGAUUUUUAUGGGCAAUUCUUUGUGUUCUUGAAUUUCACAGUUAUUUGUAAAUCUUACCAAUGUUGCAGUAUCACAUUUAUUGGUGAAAUUUGCGGACUCAGUCUAGAUAAAGAAGCCACGUGGUCUUUCAAUUUGUUUCACGAAACCUCUUCAAGAUCAUGUAACAUGUCAUCAAUACAGUCAGCCCUCCACAUCUGUGGGUCCCACAGCUGUGGAUUCAACCAACCGCAAAUCAAGAACAUUUGGAAAAAUUUCCAGACAGUUCCAAAAAGCAUAAAUUCAAUUUGUCACUUGCCGGCAGCUAUUUACAUAGCAUUAACAUUGUAUUUAUAACUAUUAACGUAGCACUUCCUUUAUAUUAGGUAUUAUAAAUAAUCUAAAGAUGAUUUGAAGUAUUUGGAAGGUUGUGCCUAGGUUGUAUGCAAAUAUUACACCAUUUUAUAUAAGGGACUUGAGCAUUUGUGGAUGUUGAUAUCCAUGGGGAGGUCCUGGAACCAAUCCCCCAUGGAUACCAAGGGACAACUGUACUUCAACUUAUCACACUGUUUGACAGUGUGAAACCUUUUUAAUUUCUCGUACUGCAUUUUGUCCCAGCAUUUUUCUUACAAUAAUUGUACCUGAUUAUAUUAUCAGGGUCUCACCAACUAUGUAACUUCCUGUUUGGGGCAACAAGUUCUGCUGUGAAAUAAUUCAUUUUCUGGUUCUUUUUACUGAAUGUGCCUGCUUUUAGCAAGACGUUUAAUGUUGAUUUUGAGAUUCUGAUAGCUGUUUAAUCAGCACCUUUGCUUCUCAAAUGGCUGUGACUUGUAUUUAAAUGGUUUUUUUUUUUCAAUUUUGUUGGAGCCGUUGCUGCAUUUGUAAGGUCUUUGAUAUAGCAGGGGUUCGCAAACUACAGUCCAUGAGCCAAAUCCCACUAGAGGCCAGUGUUUGUAUGGCCCUCAGAGCUAAGACUGGUUCUUAAAUUUUUAAAGAGUUGUAAACAAACAAAAACAAAGAAGAAUAUGUGACGGAGACUGUAUGUGGCCUCUACUAUCUUUAGUUGGGAUCUGUUUUGAACCACAGUAAGAAUAUGGAACUCUUCCUUCCAUUUCCUCUACUGACUUUUUAAGACAGUUGGGAGGGUUAGGAGUAUUGCCUGUGCCAAUGCAGCAGAGUUUUUCUGUCUCACAGCAAAUGAAAAGCAUCACGGAAGUGAAAAGGGAAUAAAGCCCAUGGAUCUCAGAGUGGUCAGGCUUAGCCAAAUUCUCAUUAAUGUCUCAUUUGGAUAAGCAGAGAGCUUUGUAUAACCUUUGUGUGGUGCUUCUGUAGAGUCAGAAUGAAAAACUCUAUGAUAUCCAGGCAAAAAUCCCCUGACAUCUGACAUCACAAAAGGUGUCAAUUGAGUAAAGAGUUGAUAAAACUAGAAAAUAGCAAAGGGUUUCAAGGGUUGAAGACGUAAGUUUAAAUUUUUGGAUUCAGAGUUAGGAAAUCCAGUUGAUAUUUGGGUUACAUGGUUGAGGGUGCAGGCAGGAGCUGACUGCCAAGAGCUGGCUCUUUCAGCUUAUGAUGCCUUUAGUGUUUAUUCUAGGUGGUUAAGCUAAGGCCAGGAGAAUAAGAACGGAAGCGGGGAUUCAGGACCUUUAAGUCUGCCUAGGUAUGAUAGAUGUUCUUGGUGACCUACUUAGAUCCCAUUUACUGGGCAAAUGCACAAUUUCCCCAGCUGCUGCAUCCUUCUUCAGAGAACUGCUGUGGUACCCCCCGCACCCAGAAAUGACUGAGAGGUCACACGCUCCCUCGGGGUGAUCCGCAGCCAUUAACUGAGAGAUACAGGGAUACAACGCCCACCCCCAGGCUCAGUGUUUGACAAUUCUGUGGUGCUGCCCUCACUCCCAUACAAACUUCACCAGAGGUCACUCCCUCAGUAAAUCACUUGUGCACGAAUCCCUCCUGAAGGCUCUGCUGUGAGGAAACCCAGCCUAAGCACCAGGUUUAAAUAAAGUACAAACGCCAAUAGCAUCUAUUGCUCUGCAUUUUUCAGGCACCAUGCUGACCUCAGGUAGAGUGCAGGGGUAAGAACCCCACCAAGAACUGAUUUAUACCAUGAAUAUUAAACUUUAGCGUCUCUUAAACCUGAUAGAAAAAUUCAGGAGAAUUAAGAGGAUUUGGGGGCAAGUCCAUAACAAUUAUAAAGACAAAGGGGGUGUGCAAUGGUGAUUAUCUCCUACUUUUCAAGAUUAGUUUCUGAAGGACUAAUCCAGACCAUUUUCAAACAAAAUAUUGAUCUGUUUGCAUUACUGGCCCUAUGGGAUAGUUUUAUGGUUUUAGUAUGUCUCAGUCCUAUCCAAUUUUUUUAGAGUGUUAAGGAACACUGUAUAAUAAAAUAGAUACUGACACCUA
Long non-coding RNA from Orcinus orca (killer whale), 5296 nucleotides. RefSeq lists it as uncharacterized. The record is from RefSeq and is a predicted model, not a curated record. Lineage: Eukaryota; Metazoa; Chordata; Mammalia; Artiodactyla; Delphinidae. The transcript is spliced from 2 exons.